GACGAACGCUGGCGGCGUGCUUAACACAUGCAAGUCGAACGGAAAGGCCCUGCUUUUGUGGGGUGCUCGAGUGGCGAACGGGUGAGUAACACGUGAGUAACCUGCCCUUGACUUUGGGAUAACUUCAGGAAACUGGGGCUAAUACCGGAUAUGAGCUCCUGCUGCAUGGUGGGGGUUGGAAAGUUUCGGCGGUUGGGGAUGGACUCGCGGCUUAUCAGCUUGUUGGUGGGGUAGUGGCUUACCAAGGCUUUGACGGGUAGCCGGCCUGAGAGGGUGACCGGCCACAUUGGGACUGAGAUACGGCCCAGACUCCUACGGGAGGCAGCAGUGGGGAAUAUUGCACAAUGGGCGGAAGCCUGAUGCAGCAACGCCGCGUGCGGGAUGACGGCCUUCGGGUUGUGAACCGCUUUCGCCUGUGACGAAGCGUGAGUGACGGUAAUGGGUAAAGAAGCACCGGCUAACUACGUG
This 468-nucleotide ribosomal RNA is filed under the name uncultured bacterium. Its description in RNAcentral is "partial 16S ribosomal RNA". It matches the Rfam family "Bacterial small subunit ribosomal RNA", at positions 28 to 507 of the family's 1533-position model. The record is from RNAcentral.